Molecule: long non-coding RNA, 1344 nt
Organism: Oreochromis aureus
Lineage: Eukaryota; Metazoa; Chordata; Actinopteri; Cichliformes; Cichlidae
Source: Ensembl
AAAAAUGAACCAAUAAUCCAUGAAGACGGUGCAAAGUGUAAAUUAUCAUCUGCUGCAUCUCAGACAUUGGCGAGAAUGAACAAUGUGAAGAGAAGUCUGAACAGACCAACGGCCUGCCAGAGAAAUCUUCCUCCAAGCACUCCGCUUCUCCAUCUGUGGAGCUGCAGCUCAACCCUGGCCAGCUGCAGCUUGACGGUCUACCUCUGGGGGCUGGAGCUGCAGGCCCUGGUCUACGAGUGGCCCAGGUACGACUAUUGGACCGCAGAACCAGCAGCAGGCCAAGCAGCCGACCUGGGAGUCCAAAUUCCAACACUUCAUCCACCCCAACCCCCUCAGAGGAGCAGAAUGAUGGAGAGGAGGAGGCAGCAGAGCCCGAGGAUGAAGUUCAGGGUGCAGAGCUCGAGCGUUCUACAGUUUCUGCUCCGACCCUGUGACUCCUCAAGAGGCCCUUUCAGCUCCUAAUAGCAGCUGCUAUGGAGAGAAACCCCAUUCAAUUUCAGCUGGAUUCAGGAUGUCAUCGCUCUCCAGUGCAGUAUCAUGUGACACCUAUCCAUCAAACAGAAGGCCUCAUCAACAGAGUGGGACUUUGAGAAGCAAAUACACAAUCAAGUGGACCAUCAGAGGACAUGAAAACUCAGGCCUCAUUAGAAAGGACUUCUUCCCCUGAUGCCUGCUCUAAAGCUUGCAGUACACCCAGUGACUCCCAGGGGGCCUCUCUUUCCAAGGACAGCCCAUCAGGGCUAGUUCUUUGCAAAUGCACCGUGACACCAUGUCAGAACUGUAGGAAACCUAAUGGACCUCUGGAAUUGGUUCAGCCUCCCAGAGCCAAUGGACCUGUAGACUGUAACAGUGCCUCAGAUUCCUGCAGGCAGGCUGAGCUACAGAACAGACUGAAGCCUGGGAAAACGCCAUCAGACUCAGCUUCUGCCUCUGCACUGGUGAACCACAUAGGAACAGAAAUGGUUAAGAAGGAACCCGAGAGCUCUGUAAAUGCAUGUGCUCAACAGAACUGCCCCACUGCCCCCACGAUAUGGCCCCACAGUGGCCAUCAGAACCACAGGAGCCAGACAGAGCCCCAGGAGGAGUGUAUGAGCACCGAUGAAAAGCCCUCCUUCUCAAUCACCAGCAGUUCCUUCACAGAUGCACCAUCUAGAGGCAGCCAGGAGCACGACUCAGUAAAGUUUGGUUCAGCACCUACUCCAGACAUAAAGGCUGCUCCUGCACUGAUGGACUCACUGCUGCCCAACACACUGUCCUCCAUCACCAACCUGUCCAGCUGCAUGAAGGAUGGAAAAGAGGAGGAUGGGGGUGAGUUUGUCACUCUGUGGCCACAUGUGACACUUU